AUGCUUGGUUCGUCCUUACGGAAAAUAGAGAAUAGGCGGGUUCCUGGAACCCCUGCGCUGUCUGGGUGGCACAUCUCCAUCCCCACCCCGCUCCAGCGCUCUGGCCCGGACUUACUGCAACUCUGUCCAGGCGGGGACUCCGCCGGCCAGUCCAGCCUCCCUGGGAGCUGGGUCGUGGGAGGAACCUGGCAGCAGGCACCAACCAACAGACUCUGCAUGCUGAGACACAAGCAGCCCAUGCCGGCAAGACUAUUUUAUAAACAUGAUUUCUUUUCAGCGUUAAUCCAGUGGAUUAGAUACAGCUGUGUUCAUUCUGCUGGUUCUUUCAUUUCAAAGCUGCUCCAACGCACUUUCAUCUUCAAAAGUCCAGUCUGUGGAGGUGGUGUGUGGGUGGACAUUUGGGAAGCACGGUGCUCAAGAAAGUUAGAUCAGAAGUCAAGUACGUCUGAAUCUAAAUCUCUACUACUUUCCAGCUCUGUGACCUUGGAUGAAUUGUUCAACCUUCCUGAGACUUAGCUUUCCAGUCUGUAAAAUGGGAAGAAUAAUGUCUGCUUCAUAAGUGUGAAAAUAAAUACAAUUUAAAAGCUGUUGAAACCCCUCAAACACUUUAAGCCUCGAGAGAGACGCGACUGUGAUCUGAGUCACAGACGGUUAUCACGUCUGUUUUUCAGAUCAUAGAUUCCCUUGCUUUUUUAUUUUUCUUGUUCUGUACAAUGACCAGAGAGAGCUGAAUGACUUCAGGGGUGAAAACCUCCUGCCUUCUUAAUUAAUGAGCCCUGUGAUAGAUUAACUUCCCCUUUUGUUGCCCUGCUUUGCUUAGACCAGAUAACGGAAAGCCCAUGACUAGUACUUCCUCUGUCAAAAAUGUUAAAUGUACCGUUCCCAAAAAGAAACACUGCCUAACCAAUCAAAUUGCUGCAACUGUUAAUAUACACCAAAGUUGUAUGAAAAAUGUAAUCCUGCUCAAAAAAAAACCAAAAAAACAAAAAAAAACCAAAAAAACCUCCAUCUCUGCCUGUUUAAGUGAAACCUUAAGUUUCCCACUUGGAAACAUUGACUCCAUUUCUUGAAAUCGGUGUUUCCCGAUGGGCCAUCCUCACACUUGGUGUUUGAAGAAAGUCUCUUUAUU
This 1129-nucleotide long non-coding RNA is filed under the name Papio anubis (olive baboon). Its description in RNAcentral is "lncRNA (ENSPANG00000037263.1)". The record is from RNAcentral. Lineage: Eukaryota; Metazoa; Chordata; Mammalia; Primates; Cercopithecidae.